This 484-nucleotide ribosomal RNA is filed under the name uncultured bacterium. Its description in RNAcentral is "partial 16S ribosomal RNA". It matches the Rfam family "Bacterial small subunit ribosomal RNA", at positions 30 to 507 of the family's 1533-position model. The record is from RNAcentral.
AUUGAACGCUGGCGGCAGGCCUAACACAUGCAAGUCGAGCGGAUGAAGGGAGCUUGCUCCUGGAUUCAGCGGCGGACGGGGGAGUAAUGCCUAGGAAUCUGCCUGGUAGUGGGGGAUAACGUCCGGAAACGGGCGCUAAUACCGCAUACGUCCUGAGGGAGAAAGUGGGGGAUCUUCGGACCUCACGCUCUCAGAUGAGCCUAGGUCGGAUUAGCUAGUUGGUGGGGUAAAGGCCUACCAAGGCGACGAUCCGUAACUGGUCUGAGAGGAUGAUCAGUCACACUGGAACUGAGACACGGUCCAGACUCCUACGGGAGGCAGCAGUGGGGAAUAUUGGACAAUGGGCGAAAGCCUGAUCCAGCCAUGCCGCGUGUGUGAAGAAGGUCUUCGGAUUGUAAAGCACUUUAAGUUGGGAGGAAGGGCAGUAAGUUAAUACCUUGCUGUUUUGACGUUACCAACAGAAUAAGCACCGGCUAACUUCGUG